GACGAACGCUGGCGGCGUGCUUAACACAUGCAAGUCGAACGAAGAGCGAUGGAAGCUUGCUUCUAUCAAUCUUAGUGGCGAACGGGUGAGUAACGCGUAAUCAACCUGCCCUUCAGAGGGGGACAACAGUUGGAAACGACUGCUAAUACCGCAUACGAUCUGACCUCGGCAUCGAGGAUAGAUGAAAGGUGGCCUCUACAUGUAAGCUAUCACUGAAGGAGGGGAUUGCGUCUGAUUAGCUAGUUGGAGGGGUAACGGCCCACCAAGGCGAUGAUCAGUAGCCGGUCUGAGAGGAUGAACGGCCACAUUGGGACUGAGACACGGCCCAGACUCCUACGGGAGGCAGCAGUGGGGAAUCUUCCGCAAUGGACGAAAGUCUGACGGAGCAACGCCGCGUGAGUGAUGACGGCCUUCGGGUUGUAAAGCUCUGUUAAUCGGGACGAAAGGCCUUUUUGCGAAUAGUGAGGAGGAUUGACGGUACCGGAAUAGAAAGCCACGGCUAACUACGUG
This 510-nucleotide ribosomal RNA is filed under the name uncultured bacterium. Its description in RNAcentral is "partial 16S ribosomal RNA". It matches the Rfam family "Bacterial small subunit ribosomal RNA", at positions 28 to 507 of the family's 1533-position model. The record is from RNAcentral.